Bombus huntii is the source of this 1056-nucleotide long non-coding RNA. RefSeq lists it as uncharacterized. Lineage: Eukaryota; Metazoa; Arthropoda; Insecta; Hymenoptera; Apidae. The transcript has 4 exons. The record is from RefSeq and is a predicted model, not a curated record.
AAAUUUUAUCGAAAUAGAAAAAAAGUGAACUCUUACAAUAACGAAUAUUUUUGCAUUCAAUAAUUAUCACGCGUAUUAUUUUUUAUUUCGCGUUGCUUCUCGAAAUAAUAUAUUUAGACUAUUCAAAAUGCUAUCCUUCGACUAAUGUAAUUGAUUGUGAAGAAAAAGAAAUCUACCAACCUGUGAUACAUCGUGAUAUACACAUAUAAUAUUCCUAUACAUGUAUACAUAUAUGUAUAUAUACAUACUUUAUUGAUCUCUAUCUUGUCGAUGUAUGAUUCAUUCUUAACCAAUUAAAAAGAAGAAAAACCGCAACAAUUUGUGAGAGUGAAUAGAAUGUUACACUGUGGGAAAUAAUAGUUAAAUAAUAUCUAUGUUGCUGAAGGAAGUUAUAUCAGCACGGUUUCCUUCCUGAUAAUCUUUUUCAAAUAUUCGCGCGUGGAUGAAUAAGGAGAAUUCUUGAGAUAUUUGAAAAGCAUUCGAUCCAGGAUUUUAACACGGAAACAUUUACAGUACAAGAUUCACAUUUGCACGAAUGAUAUCUAAAAAUAGGUCGUUACUCGACGACUGGUACGCGACAGCAACAGCAUGGGGCUUCAUUAUUGAUAAGUCCUGAUAAAAGUUAAUAAAAGCGAUUUAAAUAGACAUACUUGAGAGGAUCCACUUAUGAUACUUGAAUUUCGAGUUCACCCAGUACAAGUGUUCGCUUUUAAGUUUAGCUCAUUUGGAUUUACAAAAAUUCAAUCGACAUUCUUUCUAUUACGAAUAGAUGUUACAGUUCUUUGACACCUCUAAUUUAUCAGUAGUUGAAUAUCAUACUAAUUAUAUUAUAUAGUACUGUAUAUUAUAUUAAUAGUAUCGUACUAUAUGAUACUAAUACUGUUAUAAUGUAUAAGCUGCAGAUGUUUAUGAAUUUAUAGAGAACUUGAAUAUACAAAAAUAUAUAAAGUAAAACAAACAUAUUAGGUGCUAUUUCAUUAAUUGCAUUCAUGAAAAUAUAAAUUUGCAUAAAUAUCUGUAUUGUAAUAAUAGAAUAUGAUUAAUGAUUUUCUUCAA